GAAUGUGAGGGCGAUCUGGCUGCAACAUCUGUCACCCCAUUGAUCGCCAGGGUUGAUUUGGCUGAUCUGGCUGGCUGGGCGGGUGUCCCCUUCCUCCCUCACUGCUCCAUGUGUGUCCCUCCCGAAGCUGCACGCUUGGUUGAAGAGGACGACCUUCCCCGCUAGAGGAGGACCGGUCUUCGGUCAAGGGUAUACGAGUAGCUGCGCUCCCCUGCUAGAACCUGAAAACUAGCUCUCAAAUAGCAGGUGUGGGGAGAGUGGGACUUGUCAGUGUGGAGCAGGCAGGCAUGAGUGCUGUGCAGCCACACUUGAUUGACAGGUGGUUUCUGCAUC
RNAcentral lists this small nuclear RNA (333 nucleotides) under Oryctolagus cuniculus (rabbit). RNAcentral's name for it is "7SK RNA". It matches the Rfam family "7SK RNA". Rfam says of the family: 7SK was discovered as an abundant small nuclear RNA in the mid-70s but a possible function has only recently been suggested. Two independent studies have found that 7SK RNA binds the CDK9/cyclin T complex (known as elongation factor P-TEFb). P-TEFb activates transcription by phosphorylating the C-terminal domain of RNA polymerase II. The record is from Rfam by way of RNAcentral. Lineage: Eukaryota; Metazoa; Chordata; Mammalia; Lagomorpha; Leporidae.